AGUGCAAGACAGCGAAAUACUGCAACAUAAUAUCAAUAUAAAAUAUAGUAUUAGGUGUAUUAAAAAAAAACAUUUGUACGAAUAUUCAUUAAUUUCUGUAUUGUUACCAUGCGGUUUGUGGCGUACCACCGCCAUGUUGCCUACAGCGCACCGCAGUUGGAGAACCACUGAUGCAGGGCACGCGCGCUAAAUCCAUUAAAAUUCAAAUACUCGGGGUUGUUUUAUAUUAAUAUGAUA
This is a non-coding RNA of Cinara cedri, 237 nucleotides long. The record is from the annotation of a GenBank genome assembly. NCBI's taxonomy places the organism in Eukaryota, Metazoa, Arthropoda, Insecta, Hemiptera, Aphididae.